AAAGAUAGCUCCUGGGUGAACGGUGGUUUUUGUAAUGCAGUGGUUGUCACGUGUGCCACCCACGCGAAAUGGAAACUGGGCAGAAAUAUCUCCUUAUGGGUCUCUCUCUCUCCCUCUCUCGCUCUCUACUUCAGCUUGGGUAAUUUGUUUCACUAAACUCAACUCAAGCUCUCUUAAACCCAGGUCUGGUGCUUAAAACAAUAUGUCUUUAUUCCCUUACAGGUCUAGGGGUCAGAAAUCUGCAAUCAGUUUCGGUGGACCAAAAUGAAAAUGUCAAACAGGGUGUCUGACACCCUCCAGAAGCACCAGAGGAGAAGCAGCUUUCCUUGGCCUUCCCAGGUUCUACAGGGACAUUCCUUGGCUCAUAGCUCCCCCUCCCAUUUUCUUUCUUUCUUUUCUUUUCUUUUCUUUUCUUUUCUUUUCUUUUUUUUCUUUUUUUUUUUUUUGAGACAGAGUCUCGCUCUGUCACCCAGGCUGGAGUGCAGUGGCGCCAUCUCGGCUCACUGCAAGCUCCGCCUCCCGGGUUCACGCCAUUCUCCUGCCUCAGCCUCCCGUAGCUGGGAUUACAGGCACCCGCCACCACGCUCGGCUAAUUUUUUGUACUUUUAGUAAAGACGGGGUUUCACCGUACUAGCCAGGAUGGUCUCGAUCUCCUGACCUCGUGAUCAGCCCGCCUCGGCCUCCCAAAGUGCUGGGAUUACAGGCGUGAGGCACCGCGCCCGGCCUCCUCCUCCCGUUUUCAAAGUCACCAGCGUAGCAUCCUGAUUCAAGAUCACAUUGUCUUCUUUUUUUUUUGUAGCCAAAUCUCCCUCUGCCUCUCUCCCCUGGUGACGACAAUGGCUGGGGUCUUGACUUGCCAAGGUAACUCGUUGGGGAGCAGAGAGUGGGAUCCGCAGUGUUCUGGUGGCUGUUGGGAUCUGGGCGCGAGGAAGGAGAGUGGCUCUCAUGAUUCUCUGCAUUCUCAGUGCAGCGUGGCCCGUACUGGUGGGGCCACUGCUACCGACUAAGCAGUACGGGCCGCCUGGAAGACCGAAGGCGGAGUUCGCUGAUGCGGAAGCCAAGGCACAGGGCAAUAAGGAUCCGCGCCAUUUCUUGUGAUGUCACCUGAAGCCUUGGCGGGUAGCUGCCUCUCAUCCAUUCGGAGGACAGGGCUCCAGCCACCGGCAGCUCUGAAAGAGUUUGAAGAAUUUAUUGUUCACAGAUGGUAUUUAAAUGGACUUAUUUCUAAAAGUCACAUUCCUUUAUUACUUAUUUGUUAUUAGAAGUACCCAUUUUCAUAUGUGUUUAAAACUAUUUGUGUCUCAAAUUCUCAGGAGAUUGAUGCAUCCCAGUUUACUCUUUUUGGCAUAUGUUUUUACUCAUAAAUUAGGUUAAAUUUCAUACUUGUUUUAUAAAAUUUAGUUAUUUGGUUACAUUAAAAUAUUUGUAUCCAGAUAAGAAGUCUCUUCCUUCUCCUAUGCUUUUUUUGGAAUUUAGAGCAUAUCUGAAAUAAAAUUAAUUUACUUUUUAUUACU
This 1514-nucleotide long non-coding RNA is filed under the name Homo sapiens (human). RNAcentral describes it as "non-protein coding lnc-HIST1H2AI-1:3". The record is from RNAcentral. Lineage: Eukaryota; Metazoa; Chordata; Mammalia; Primates; Hominidae.